GCUAAUUUUUGAGUCGGUUUAGUUGAUGCAUGACAACUGAACAAAACGUACUUGUUUCACGACGGACAGCUCUGCAAACGGACAAAAAGCCGAACGGAUUCUGAUGACGGACCAGCGCGUUACUAUGGUUUUUCUAUGGAACAUUUUCACUCAACACUUGCCAUGGUUCUCAUAUUGGAGGGCUGAUAGUGGCCUAACAGCUGGCCUUCAGGAGAGACCUCUGCCAUAACUGCAGUUAAGACUGGAAAGAUAUAACCCUGAGAUGGUUCAAUGCAGAUGCUCCCCAUUAUUUUCAUGUUGCUGUCCGUGGUGUUGAAUCGAGGAUGUAGUAAUGACACAGUCUGCUCUCUGUGGUGUGUUUGUGCUCCGUUUCGUUCAGGUUGUUGGACUGUAUGGUUAACAGAUAAGACCCAGCAAAUAUAUCCAUAUUUCUGUAAAAUUACUUCAGCACUGUCACAGUGGGCUAAACAGUUAACCCCCUAUUUAUUGGCAAAGAAGCAGCUCCAGGAUCUGUUAUUUGACAACAAUAUGAGGAGUUUGCCUCUUUUGUUUUUUUUUAGCUUUGGGAGACAGUUCUGAAUUGUAUUUUCUUACAUUUGAUUUAUCUUUCAAGAUCUUGGUCCUCAAUUAUUGAUCAAUUGUUAGGUUCUAAUGCUUCCAUGGGUCAUUACAUCCACAAGUAUUACAUUACACAAUAUUUGUGGAAAAAGCAGAAAAUAACCUUUUGAGUCAGUUGAAACUCUUUGCUGCAAAAAAGACAAUUCGUCUUUAGUGUUCAUUUAUGAUUAUGUUAGCAUUUUUUUUAUCCUGUUCUGCAUGUCACUUACAUCCUGUGCCUCUGUUGUUUGCUCCUGUAAUUAACCAGUUUUUCCAUGUGGGUCAAUCAAAAUGUUAAGGAUCAUACAUUUGUUAAAUGGUACGUUUGUUGGGUUGAGUUUAAACGUAAUUUUCUUAGUCAGAAAUACUGUAUGACAUCCACUAUCGCUGCAAUACCAAAACAUAACAAUAUGCAAGUAGAAUUUGACCAGCAUGGGUUUUUCAGGCUUGAUAACAGUGUUUUUUUACUGAUGUUGCUGAUAGCUGAUAUACAGUAUAUUGUGUUGAUCUCGUACAAAAGAAUUUUCCACCAGCAAAGUCAAGGCUACUAUAGGCUACUAUAAAUAGUUGGAUAUGCAGUUGCAAAGUGGUCACCCCCUGCCAUGCAACAGGAUUUAACUUUAGAUACCUUUAACCUGAGCAAAAUGAAUGAUAAAGUUUUACAUAACUGCCCAAUUAAAUGCCUAAAUCCUAAACAUAUAAUCUAUCACUGAAAUGGAAAAUUACCUCAUUAUCCAGAAAUGCGAAGGCUGCUCCUAACAAUAUACAGGUAUGCACAGUGGAAGGUGAAAUGGUCAUUUCUUAAUUUGGUGUGUACUUGAUAAAGAGGAACCUUAUCACAUUACAUUUUGCCAUAAAUCAUGCAGAGCUUAAAGGUGGGGUAUGUGAUUUUAAUCCAUUACACAUAUUUUUGUUAAAUUCAGCGAAUAUCUCCUCACGGUCCACUAGUUGUCCGUUCAGUGUGUGCUCUGAAAAAAAAUCAGGUGUUUGUACACAGCCCUGGCUCUGUAAAUCGGAACCAAUCAAAGUGGCUUGGACUGGGCCACACAACAUUAUUCCAGCCAUGAUUCAGGUAACGUUAAAUGACUUGCCCACGGACAUUCAGCUUACUUUCUAGUUUGCCAAGAUAUGCUGUUGUUGUGAUGUUAGCUAUAGUAG
Molecule: long non-coding RNA, 1755 nt
Organism: Siniperca chuatsi (mandarin fish)
Lineage: Eukaryota; Metazoa; Chordata; Actinopteri; Centrarchiformes; Sinipercidae
Exons: 3
Source: RefSeq, a predicted model, not a curated record